Molecule: long non-coding RNA, 633 nt
Filed under: Homo sapiens (human)
Lineage: Eukaryota; Metazoa; Chordata; Mammalia; Primates; Hominidae
Description: HSALNT0295913
Source: RNAcentral
ACACCGUGGGCUGCGGGCGCGGUGGAGCCCGGGGACGGCCUGGUGUCCGGGGCCGAGGUGACACCGUGGGCUGGGGGGGCGGUGGAGCCCGGGGCCGGCCUGGUGUCCGGGGCCGAGGUGACACCGUGGGCUGGGGGGGCGGUGGAGCCCGGGGCCGGCCUGGUGUCCGGGGCCGAGGUGACACCGUGGGCUGGGGGGGCGGUGGAGCCCGGGGCCGGCCUGGUGUCCGGGGCCGAGGUGACACCGUGGGCUGGGGGGGCGGUGGAGCCCGGGGCCGGCCUGGUGUCCGGGGCCGAGGUGACACCGUGGGCUGGGGGGGCGGUGGAGCCCGGGGCCGGCCUGCUCUCCGGGGCCGAGGUGACACCGUGGGCUGGGGGGGCGGUGGAGCCCGGGGCCGGCCUGCUCUCCGGGGCCGAGGUGACACCGUGGGCUGCGGGCGCGGUGGAGCCCGGGGCCGGCCUGCUCUCCGGGGCCGAGGUGACACCGUGGGCUGCGGGCGCGGUGGAGCCCGGGGCCGGCCUGGUGUCCGGGGCCGAGGUGACACCGUGGGCUGCGGGCGCGGUGGAGCCCGGGGCGGGCCUGGUGUCCGGGGCCGAGGUGACACCGUGGGCUGCGGGCGCGGUGGAGCCCGGG